GACGAACGCUGGCGGCGUGCUUAACACAUGCAAGUCGAACGGAAAGGCCCCUUUGGGGGUACUCGAGUGGCGAACGGGUGAGUAACACGUGAGUAACCUGCCCUUGACUUCGGGAUAACUUCAGGAAACUGGGGCUAAUACCGGAUAGGAAUCCUUGCUGCAUGGUGGGGGUUGGAAAGCUUCGGCGGUUUUGGAUGGACUCGCGGCUUAUCAGCUUGUUGGUGGGGUAGUGGCUUACCAAGGCUUUGACGGGUAGCCGGCCUGGGAGGGCGACCGGCCACAUUGGGACUGAGGUACGGCCCAGGCUCCUACGGGGGGCAGCAGUGGGGAAUAUUGCACCAUGGGCGGAAGCCUGAUGCAGCAACGCCGCGUGCGGGAUGACGGCCUUCGGGUUGUAAACCGCUUUCAGCAGGGGCGAAGCUUGUGGUGACGGUACCUGCAGAAGAAGCACCGGCUAACUACGUG
RNAcentral lists this ribosomal RNA (465 nucleotides) under uncultured bacterium. Its description in RNAcentral is "partial 16S ribosomal RNA". It matches the Rfam family "Bacterial small subunit ribosomal RNA", at positions 28 to 507 of the family's 1533-position model. The record is from RNAcentral.